AUUUUUAAUUGUAAUCUGGAAUGAAAGGUUGAAUGAAAUAUUAACUGUUUCUUUUUAAUUUAUUGAAUUUUAUUUUUUAAUUAAAAAGUUAAAAUAUUUUUGAGGGACGAGAAGACCCUAUAGAGUUUUAUAAAAUUAUUAAAUUUUAAUUUUUAUAUAUUUUAAUUAAUUUUUUUUUGUUUUAAUUUAUUGGGGAGAUAUUAAAAUUUAAUAAACUUUUUUAAAAAUAAAUCAUUAAUAAUUGUUUAAAUGAUCUUUUAGUAUAGAUUAAAAAAUUAAAUUACCUUAGGGAUAACAGCAUUAUUUUUUUAUUAAGUUCAAAUUAAUAAAAAAGAUUAU
Molecule: ribosomal RNA, 339 nt
Filed under: Dicerura dentata
Lineage: Eukaryota; Metazoa; Arthropoda; Insecta; Diptera; Cecidomyiidae
Description: partial 16S ribosomal RNA
Source: RNAcentral